GUAAUUAGCUGGCAGGGGAGAUACCAUGAUCAUGAAGGUGGCUUUCCUAGGAUUAGGCUCAUCCAUUCCAAUCCAGAUAUGCUGACUCUUGCAAUUUCCUUAAAUGCGGGGACCUUCAAUGCAUAGUUUGUGGAGGUUGGUGAAGCAGUGGGGAGGGAGGGGGUGUUCAUGUU
Molecule: small nuclear RNA, 173 nt
Organism: Chelydra serpentina (North American snapping turtle)
Lineage: Eukaryota; Metazoa; Chordata; Testudines; Chelydridae
Gene: U1
Rfam family: U1 spliceosomal RNA
About the family: U1 is a small nuclear RNA (snRNA) component of the spliceosome (involved in pre-mRNA splicing). Its 5' end forms complementary base pairs with the 5' splice junction, thus defining the 5' donor site of an intron.
Source: Ensembl